UUGUCAAGAAAUGUCCUAGAGGCCUAUGGCAAAUAAGUAGGGUAUUCCUUGCUGGUACAGGUCCGAAAAUGACCAGUUGUGAUUUUGGAUUUGGUAUGGAUUAUUCGUUCUUGAGAGUUUAAAGAAUUGGAAACCCUCUACAAUGGUAGUUCCUUAACCAGCGCUUUAGUGCUGCAUUUGUCAAGAUGUUAUCCAUAUCCCCAUUGGAACAGAAUUACCUUAAAUUCUGACACUUCCGAGGAGCAUGACAUCUGUUAUACAAACUCCUUCUCUGCCCACUUGUACAAAUCCUUGUAUAUUUGUAGUAUUUUAUUUAUAUGCAUCAUUUUCUAAAAUCUAGAGGAAGUUGGGUAGCAUUUUUAUUUUUGUCUUUAUUCAUUUAACUUUGCAUUUUAAGUACUGAACUAUAUUAAAUUUGUCAUGCUGGCCAUUUAUCCAUGUGAUGGUGACUUAACCCCUUCAAUGCCAAAAUAAAGCAUAAAUGUUUUUAUUUCCAUGUAUUUUGCAGCAAGAAAUCUAGUCCAUAAAACCUCACUUACCAUUGUUUAUACUCCGAUUAGCAGCGUGUAGAUGAAUAAAUAUCUCUGUCAGAAGCCUCUAGUCACUGAUCUAAUGAAUGUAAUGUUGCUGAAAGUGUAGGCCUCACCCCCUGCUUUCAAACAGUACAGGAAGUUUCAAAGAGUGAUGGCAAUAACCUACUUAUAGUCUGGGGGUGGGGGUGUAGAGGGAGUGAAUAGACUAGACUGUACCAUUUCACUGCCAACAUUACAUUAGCCCAGGGGUUCCCAAUUAAUUUUUCCAGUGGAACCCAUUGCUUUUUCUCUUGAUAGUUCCUUGUUUUAACCAGAUGUCUAAAUUCAUGGUUGUUGGUUGGUUAAAAAAAAACAAAAAAAAAAAACACUUCUCUAACCUUAAAAAAAAUAUAUAUCUCACUAUCUGACUGCAAUGGAUGCUGGUUUUUAUAAUGUUCUUAGAAAUAACUUUAUGAAAGAUGGGUUUUGGAUCAGUCUUGGAGCAAAAAGAUUAGAAAACUUAAACAGGUCUCACUACCUGACUGCAAAGGAUGCUGUUUUUUUUUGUUUUUUUUUAUAAAGCUCUUGGAAAGAAAUGAAUGUAAGCAGGAUUUUGGCUCAGUCUUGGAGUAAAGAGAACGCUUUACUUCAGUUUUCACUACCUGACUGCAAAGGAUGCUGUUUUGUUAACAGCUCUUAGAAAGAAAAUUU
Non-coding RNA from Pelobates cultripes (western spadefoot toad), 1223 nucleotides. Lineage: Eukaryota; Metazoa; Chordata; Amphibia; Anura; Pelobatidae. The record is from the annotation of a GenBank genome assembly.